UGGGGAAUAUUGCACAAUGGAGGGAACUCUGAUGCAGCGACGCCGCGUGAACGAAGAAGGCUUUCGAGUCGUAAAGUUCUUUUAUAUGGGAAGAUAAUGACGGUACCAUAAGAAAAAGCCCCGGCUAACUACGUGUCAGCAGCCGCGGUAAUACGUAGGGGGCUAGCGUUGUCCGGAAUCACUGGGCGUAAAGGGUUCGCAGGCGGAAAUGCAAGUCAGAUGUAAAAGGCAGUAGCUUAACUACUGUAAGCAUUUGAAACUGCAUAUCUUGAGAAGAGUAGAGGUAAGUGGAAUUUUUAGUGUAGCGGUGAAAUGCGUAGAUAUUAAAAAGAAUACCGGUGGCGAAGGCGACUUACUGGGCUCAUUCUGACGCUGAGGAACGAAAGCGUGGGUAGCAAACAGG
Molecule: ribosomal RNA, 403 nt
Filed under: Fusobacteriota bacterium
Lineage: Bacteria; Fusobacteriati; Fusobacteriota
Description: Fusobacteria bacterium partial 16S ribosomal RNA
Rfam family: Bacterial small subunit ribosomal RNA
Source: RNAcentral